UACGUAGGGUGCGAGCGUUGUCCGGAAUUAUUGGGCGUAAAGGGCUCGUAGGCGGUUUGUCACGUCGGGAGUGAAAACCCAGGGCUCAACCCUGGGCCUGCUUCCGAUACGGGCAGACUAGAGGUAUGCAGGGGAGAACGGAAUUCCUGGUGUAGCGGUGAAAUGCGCAGAUAUCAGGAGGAACACCGGUGGCGAAGGCGGUUCUCUGGGCAUUACCUGACGCUGAGGAGCGAAAGUGUGGGGAGCGAACAGG
RNAcentral lists this ribosomal RNA (253 nucleotides) under uncultured bacterium. RNAcentral's name for it is "partial 16S ribosomal RNA". It matches the Rfam family "Bacterial small subunit ribosomal RNA", at positions 524 to 776 of the family's 1533-position model. The record is from RNAcentral.